Molecule: ribosomal RNA, 467 nt
Filed under: uncultured bacterium
Lineage: Bacteria
Description: partial 16S ribosomal RNA
Rfam family: Bacterial small subunit ribosomal RNA
Source: RNAcentral
GACGAACGCUGGCGGCGUGCUUAACACAUGCAAGUCGAACGGUGAAGCUCCAGCUUGCUGGAGUGGAUCAGUGGCGAACGGGUGAGUAACACGUGAGCAACCUGCCCCUGACUCUGGAAUAAGCGCUGGAAACGGCGUCUAAUACUGGAUACGAGAAGGGUCCGCAUGGGCACUUUCUGGAAAGUUUUUCGGUUGGGGAUGGGCUCGCGGCCUAUCAGCUUGUUGGUGAGGUAAUGGCUCACCAAGGCGACGACGGGUAGCCGGCCUGAGAGGGCGACCGGCCACACUGGGACUGAGACACGGCCCAGACGCCUACGGGAGGCAGCAGUGGGGAAUAUUGCACAAGGGGCGAAAGCCUGAUGCAGCGACGCCGCGUGGGGGAUGACGGCCUUCGGGUUGUAAACCUCUUUCAGCAGGGAGGAAGCGAAAGUGACGGUACCUGCAGAAGAAGCACCGGCUAACUACGU